CCGCUCACGUUCGCAGCACAUUAUAACGUUACGUGGCUUUCCGCUGAAACCGGAAAAGGAAGAUUCAUCUCUGUUGCUAAUCAUCACAGGAAUCACUCGAACUGGGAGUCAAAUCUAGGACAACCUAGAGAAAAAAAAGAUUAACAAUGGUGACAGAUGUGCAGCUGGCCAUAUUUGCCAACAUGCUUGGUGUCUCAUUGUUCCUGCUGGUUGUGUUAUAUCACUACGUUGCAGUCAACAAUCCUAAGAAGCAGGAGUAGGAGAGUCCAAACAUGAUGUCACACAUGAAAAAGGAGUCACUGUGGCCAUCCUGGAGAUAACAUUCCUCUCCCUUUUUCAUCCUUCUUUCUAGGAAGAUUUCUAUGUAAUAGUUGCACAGUCAUGGAUGCUUGUUUUUUGUAAUAAACAUGUGAAUAAACACCAGAAAUGGAAAAAAAAAACGUCUUAGU
Cynoglossus semilaevis (tongue sole) is the source of this 449-nucleotide RNA transcript. It is a transcript of the gene named oligosaccharyltransferase complex subunit 4 (non-catalytic), with no coding region annotated. The record is from RefSeq and is a predicted model, not a curated record. NCBI's taxonomy places the organism in Eukaryota, Metazoa, Chordata, Actinopteri, Pleuronectiformes, Cynoglossidae. The transcript has 3 exons.